UACGUAGGUCCCGAGCGUUGUCCGGAUUUAUUGGGCGUAAAGCGAGCGCAGGUGGUUUAUUAAGUCUGGUGUAAAAGGCAGUGGCUCAACCAUUGUAUGCAUUGGAAACUGGUAGACUUGAGUGCAGGAGAGGAGAGUGGAAUUCCAUGUGUAGCGGUGAAAUGCGUAGAUAUAUGGAGGAACACCGGUGGCGAAAGCGGCUCUCUGGCCUGUAACUGACACUGAGGCUCGAAAGCGUGGGGUGCAAACAGG
This 252-nucleotide ribosomal RNA is filed under the name uncultured bacterium. RNAcentral's name for it is "partial 16S ribosomal RNA". It matches the Rfam family "Bacterial small subunit ribosomal RNA", at positions 524 to 776 of the family's 1533-position model. The record is from RNAcentral.